RNAcentral lists this ribosomal RNA (2755 nucleotides) under Salmonella enterica subsp. enterica serovar Infantis. Its description in RNAcentral is "bacterial LSU rRNA". It matches the Rfam family "Bacterial large subunit ribosomal RNA". Lineage: Bacteria; Pseudomonadati; Pseudomonadota; Gammaproteobacteria; Enterobacterales; Enterobacteriaceae. The record is from RNAcentral.
AGCGUACACGGUGGAUGCCCUGGCAGUCAGAGGCGAUGAAGGGCGUGCUAAUCUGCGAUAAGCGCCGGUAAGGUGAUAUGAACCGUUAUAACCGGCGAUACCCGAAUGGGGAAACCCAGUGUGACUCGUCACACUAUCAUUAACUGAAUCCAUAGGUUAAUGAGGCGAACCGGGGGAACUGAAACAUCUAAGUACCCCGAGGAAAAGAAAUCAACCGAGAUUCCCCCAGUAGCGGCGAGCGAACGGGGAGGAGCCCAGAGCCUGAAUCAGCAUGUGUGUUAGUGGAAGCGUCUGGAAAGGCGCGCGAUACAGGGUGACAGCCCCGUACACAAAAGCGCAUGUGCUGUGAGCUCGAUGAGUAGGGCGGGACACGUGGUAUCCUGUCUGAAUAUGGGGGGACCAUCCUCCAAGGCUAAAUACUCCUGACUGACCGAUAGUGAACCAGUACCGUGAGGGAAAGGCGAAAAGAACCCCGGCGAGGGGAGUGAAAAAGAACCUGAAACCGUGUACGUACAAGCAGUGGGAGCNNGUGACUGCGUACCUUUUGUAUAAUGGGUCAGCGACUUAUAUUCUGUAGCAAGGUUAACCGAAUAGGGGAGCCGGAGGGAAACCGAGUCUUAAUUGGGCGUUAAGUUGCAGGGUAUAGACCCGAAACCCGGUGAUCUAGCCAUGGGCAGGUUGAAGGUUGGGUAACACUAACUGGAGGACCGAACCGACUAAUGUUGAAAAAUUAGCGGAUGACCUGUGGCUGGGGGUGAAAGGCCAAUCAAACCGGGAGAUAGCUGGUUCUCCCCGAAAGCUAUUUAGGUAGCGCCUCGUGAAUUCAUCUCCGGGGGUAGAGCACUGUUUCGGCUAGGGGGCCAUCCCGGCUUACCAACCCGAUGCAAACUGCGAAUACCGGAGAAUGUUAUCACGGGAGACACACGGCGGGUGCUAACGUCCGUCGUGAAGAGGGAAACAACCCAGACCGCCAGCUAAGGUCCCAAAGUCAUGGUUAAGUGGGAAACGAUGUGGGAAGGCCCAGACAGCCAGGAUGUUGGCUUAGAAGCAGCCAUCAUUUAAAGAAAGCGUAAUAGCUCACUGGUCGAGUCGGCCUGCGCGGAAGAUGUAACGGGGCUAAACCAUGCACCGAAGCUGCGGCAGCGANNGUUGGGUAGGGGAGCGUUCUGUAAGCCUGCGAAGGUGGCCUGUGAGGGUUGCUGGAGGUAUCAGAAGUGCGAAUGCUGACAUAAGUAACGAUAAAGCGGGUGAAAAGCCCGCUCGCCGGAAGACCAAGGGUUCCUGUCCAACGUUAAUCGGGGCAGGGUGAGUCGACCCCUAAGGCGAGGCCGAAAGGCGUAGUCGAUGGGAAACGGGUUAAUAUUCCCGUACUUGGUGUUACUGCGAAGGGGGGACGGAGAAGGCUAUGUUGGCCGGGCGACGGUUGUCCCGGUUUAAGCGUGUAGGUGUGUGUUCCAGGUAAAUCCGGUUCACUUUAACACUGAGGCGUGAUGACGAGGCACUACGGUGCUGAAGCAACAAAUGCCCUGCUUCCAGGAAAAGCCUCUAAGCAUCAGGUAACAUCAAAUCGUACCCCAAACCGACACAGGUGGUCAGGUAGAGAAUACCAAGGCGCUUGAGAGAACUCGGGUGAAGGAACUAGGCAAAAUGGUGCCGUAACUUCGGGAGAAGGCACGCUGACACGUAGGUGAAGUGAUUUACUCAUGGAGCUGAAGUCAGUCGAAGAUACCAGCUGGCUGCAACUGUUUAUUAAAAACACAGCACUGUGCAAACACGAAAGUGGACGUAUACGGUGUGACGCCUGCCCGGUGCCGGAAGGUUAAUUGAUGGGGUCAGCGCAAGCGAAGCUCCUGAUCGAAGCCCCGGUAAACGGCGGCCGUAACUAUAACGGUCCUAAGGUAGCGAAAUUCCUUGUCGGGUAAGUUCCGACCUGCACGAAUGGCGUAAUGAUGGCCAGGCUGUCUCCACCCGAGACUCAGUGAAAUUGAACUCGCUGUGAAGAUGCAGUGUACCCGCGGCAAGACGGAAAGACCCCGUGAACCUUUACUAUAGCUUGACACUGAACAUUGAGCCUUGAUGUGUAGGAUAGGUGGGAGGCUUUGAAGCGUGGACGCCAGUCUGCGUGGAGCCGACCUUGAAAUACCACCCUUUAAUGUUUGAUGUUCUAACGUGGACCCGUAAUCCGGGUUGCGGACAGUGUCUGGUGGGUAGUUUGACUGGGGCGGUCUCCUCCUAAAGAGUAACGGAGGAGCACGAAGGUUGGCUAAUCCUGGUCGGACAUCAGGAGGUUAGUGCAAUGGCAUAAGCCAGCUUGACUGCGAGCGUGACGGCGCGAGCAGGUGCGAAAGCAGGUCAUAGUGAUCCGGUGGUUCUGAAUGGAAGGGCCAUCGCUCAACGGAUAAAAGGUACUCCGGGGAUAACAGGCUGAUACCGCCCAAGAGUUCAUAUCGACGGCGGUGUUUGGCACCUCGAUGUCGGCUCAUCACAUCCUGGGGCUGAAGUAGGUCCCAAGGGUAUGGCUGUUCGCCAUUUAAAGUGGUACGCGAGCUGGGUUUAGAACGUCGUGAGACAGUUCGGUCCCUAUCUGCCGUGGGCGCUGGAGAACUGAGGGGGGCUGCUCCUAGUACGAGAGGACCGGAGUGGACGCAUCACUGGUGUUCGGGUUGUCAUGCCAAUGGCACUGCCCGGUAGCUAAAUGCGGAAGAGAUAAGUGCUGAAAGCAUCUAAGCACGAAACUUGCCCCGAGAUGAGUUCU